CAGGAAAAUGGCUUGGUAAAUUACAGUUCAUGGUAGAAUUUUGGAGUUAUAUAGGCCAUUCUCAAAUAUUCCAUCUUGUCUUUGAGGCACACAGAUACUCUGCAGCAAUUUCAGAUGUCCUGCCCCGCCUGACCUCUUGAGCCCAAGAGACUAUGGUGAGCAGAGCCCUCUGCUGGCUAGAGUCAGGAAUGCAAAAGGGAAAGGCCUCCCUUGAGUGUCAACAAAGCAUGGCGUAUCAAGUUGAGGCAAGACCAAGGUUGUGACCAUCCUUUGCUUAUCCAUCCUCUCUUUAGUGUAAGUAGCAUCUCCAAACGCAGGCAGCUGCUGCCCAGGGCCACAGCAACCCCUAACAAACUGACCAAUUCAGCCAGGGAAGGGCGUCUGCAGCACAUACUGGACACACGGGGAGCCCAAGGACCCACAACAGAGCUGGGCUGAGCCAAGUCAGAGGCAGUAGACCCCUGGGAUGUAGACAUCCCCACAGGACAGCUGGCCUCCCUGUGGCUGUCAGGAGCGAGAGCAGCAUUCACAGGGGAGUGGGCCUCUCCAGCUGCCCAGCUCUCCAGCUCCCAGCAGCAUGACAAUCCAUGCCUCUCCAGAGAAACUACAGGGAGGUAUUAGCAUGAGCUCUGGGGACCGGCAGUGGAGGGCCUGCUAAGCUGGGUAACUUCAGCAAGCUGUCACGUGCUUUCAUUUUCUCAUCGGUAAAAAGAGUGACAGUAGCGAGGAUGACCUCCGAUCAGUAGAGUCUGAGGUUGAAGCCUCCUACAGGCUACUCCCAUGGCUGUUUUCAUUCCUCCCAAAUCCCUGAGCUCCCCCAAGGUAGAAGGGGGGGGUCUUG
Long non-coding RNA from Peromyscus eremicus (cactus mouse), 841 nucleotides. RefSeq lists it as uncharacterized. The transcript has 3 exons. The record is from RefSeq and is a predicted model, not a curated record. NCBI's taxonomy places the organism in Eukaryota, Metazoa, Chordata, Mammalia, Rodentia, Cricetidae.